AAUAGAUACCCGGGUAGUCCACGCCGUAAACGAUGAGUGCUAAGUGUUAGGGGGUUUCCGCCCCUUAGUGCUGCAGCUAACGCAUUAAGCACUCCGCCUGGGGAGUACGGUCGCAAGACUGAAACUCAAAGGAAUUGACGGGGGCCCGCACAAGCGGUGGAGCAUGUGGUUUAAUUCGAAGCAACGCGAAGAACCUUACCAGGUCUUGACAUCCCAUUGACCGCUAUGGAGACAUAGCUUUCCCUUCGGGGACAGUGGUGACAGGUGGUGCAUGGUUGUCGUCAGCUCGUGUCGUGAGAUGUUGGGUUAAGUCCCGCAACGAGCGCAACCCUUGUUCUUAGUUGCCAUCAUUUAGUUGGGCACUCUAAGGAGACUGCCGGUGACAAACCGGAGGAAGGUGGGGAUGACGUCAAAUCAUCAUGCCCCUUAUGACCUGGGCUACACACGUGCUACAAUGGACGGUACAAACGGUUGCCAACCCGCGAGGGGAGGCUAAUCCGAUAAAACCGUUACUCAGUUCGGAUUGUAGGCUGCAACUCGCCUAC
RNAcentral lists this ribosomal RNA (545 nucleotides) under uncultured bacterium. Its description in RNAcentral is "bacterial SSU rRNA". It matches the Rfam family "Bacterial small subunit ribosomal RNA", at positions 777 to 1319 of the family's 1533-position model. The record is from RNAcentral.